UGCCAGCCGCCGCGGUAACACGGGGGGCGCAAGCGUUAUUCGGAAUUAUUGGGCGUAAAGGGCGCGCAGGCGGUCUUGUCAGUCAGGCGUGAAAUCCCGGGGCUCGACCUCGGAACAGCAUCUGAAACUGCGCAUCUUGAGGGUAGGCGGAGAAAACGGAAUUCCACGUGUAGCGGUGAAAUGCGUAGAUAUGUGGAAGAACACCUGUGGCGAAAGCGGUUUUCUAGCUUACACCUGACGCUGAAGCGCGAAAGCAAGGGGAGCGAACAGGAUUAGAUA
RNAcentral lists this ribosomal RNA (279 nucleotides) under uncultured bacterium. RNAcentral describes it as "partial 16S ribosomal RNA". It matches the Rfam family "Bacterial small subunit ribosomal RNA", at positions 506 to 784 of the family's 1533-position model. The record is from RNAcentral.